RNAcentral lists this ribosomal RNA (445 nucleotides) under Triglyphus fulvicornis. RNAcentral describes it as "partial 16S ribosomal RNA". The record is from RNAcentral. Lineage: Eukaryota; Metazoa; Arthropoda; Insecta; Diptera; Syrphidae.
UAAACGGNUACACCUAAAUUUAUAUCUUAAUCCAACAUCGAGGUCGCAAUCUUUUUUAUCAAUAUGAACUCUCCAAAAAAAUUACGCUGUUAUCCCUAAAGUAACUUAAUUUUUUAAUCAUUAAAAAUGGAUCAUUUAUUCAUAAAUUAAUGUUUUAAAUUUUAAAAGUUAUUUAAAUUUUAAUAUCACCCCAAUAAAAUAUAAUUAUUUAUUAUAAUAAAAAUAAUCUAUAAAAUUAAAAUAAAUAAUUAUAUAAAGAUUUAUAGGGUCUUCUCGUCUUUUAAUUAAAUUUUAGCUUUUUGACUAAAAAAUAAAAUUUUAUUAUAAUUUUAAAUGAAACAGUUAAUACUUCGUCCAACCAUUCAUUCUAGCCUUCAAUUAAAAGACUAAUGAUUAUGCUACCUUUGCACAGUUAAAAUACUGCGGCCAUUUAAAUAUUCAGUGG